AUGCUCACUUCAGCAGCACGUAUGCUAAAAUUGGAAUGAUACCGGGAAGAUCGGCAUGGCCUCUGUGCAAGGAUGACAUGCAAAUUGGUGACAUGUUCCAUACUAAA
RNAcentral lists this small nuclear RNA (107 nucleotides) under Microcebus murinus (gray mouse lemur). Lineage: Eukaryota; Metazoa; Chordata; Mammalia; Primates; Cheirogaleidae. The record is from RNAcentral.